Molecule: non-coding RNA, 223 nt
Filed under: Cytophagales bacterium
Lineage: Bacteria; Pseudomonadati; Bacteroidota; Cytophagia; Cytophagales
Source: RNAcentral
UAUCUUUGGCGGUGCAUGGGUGGCCAAACCCCGAUUGUGGGGCGAGGCUGAAAAGGGAAUGCCGUGAGAUUCGGCGACUGUCCCCGCAACUGUGAGCUUCACCGUACCCUGCGCCGAGCCUCUCUUCGCCACUGUUCCUGCGAAAGCCACCUAGGCUGGAGGAAUGGGAAGGCCGCCCGGCGCCGAAGCAAGUCAGGAGACCUGCCCGUGCAACUUUAGUGUU